This 247-nucleotide ribosomal RNA is filed under the name uncultured bacterium. RNAcentral describes it as "partial 16S ribosomal RNA". It matches the Rfam family "Bacterial small subunit ribosomal RNA", at positions 523 to 769 of the family's 1533-position model. The record is from RNAcentral.
AUACGAAUGGGGCAAGCGUUGUUCGGAAUCACUGGGCUUAAAGCGUGCGCAGGCGGCUAUGAAAGUCAGGAGUGAAAUCCCAGGGCUCAACCCUGGAAUUGCUUUUGAAACUCCAUAGCUAGAAUACUGGAGAGGUUAGCAGAAUUCCGAGUGUAGAGGUGAAAUUCGCAGAUAUUCGGAGGAAUACCAAUGGCGAAGGCAGCUAACUGGACAGUUAUUGACGCUCAGGCACGAAAGCGUGGGGAGC